UACGGAGGGUGCGAGCGUUGUCCGGAAUCAUUGGGCGUAAAGGGCGCGUAGGUGGCGGGACAAGCGUGCGGUGAAAGCCUGGGGCUCAACCCCGGGUCGGCCGUGCGAACUGUUUUGCUUGAGCACUGUAGAGGCAGGCGGAAUUCCGGGUGUAGCGGUGGAAUGCGUAGAGAUCCGGAAGAACACCGGUGGCGAAGGCGGCCUGCUGGGCAGUAGCUGACACUGAGGCGCGACAGCUAGGGGAGCAAACGGG
Molecule: ribosomal RNA, 253 nt
Filed under: uncultured bacterium
Lineage: Bacteria
Description: partial 16S ribosomal RNA
Rfam family: Bacterial small subunit ribosomal RNA
Source: RNAcentral